Molecule: ribosomal RNA, 253 nt
Filed under: uncultured bacterium
Lineage: Bacteria
Description: partial 16S ribosomal RNA
Rfam family: Bacterial small subunit ribosomal RNA
Source: RNAcentral
GACGUAGGGCGCGAGCGUUGUCCGGAUUUAUUGGGCGUAAAGAGCUCGUAGGCGGCUUGUCGCGUCGGCUGUGAAAACCCGCGGCUCAACUGUGGGCGGGCAGCUGAUACGGGCAGGCUGGAGUUCGGUAGGGGAGACUGGAAUUCCUGGUGUAGCGGUGAAAUGCGCAGAUAUCAGGAAGAACACCUAUGGCGAAGGCGGCUCACUGGCCCGGUACUGACGCUGAGGUGCGAAAGCGUGGGGAGCAAACAGG